This is a long non-coding RNA of Anas platyrhynchos (mallard), 333 nucleotides long. RefSeq lists it as uncharacterized. The record is from RefSeq and is a predicted model, not a curated record. Lineage: Eukaryota; Metazoa; Chordata; Aves; Anseriformes; Anatidae.
CAAGAACCUCUGGACCCAAAUCCCCUUUAGCUGAAGCACCUGGGUCUGCAACAACAGCUUCACCUGACAGCCCUAACAGAUUAGCAUACACCCCUGUAUUUGAACUUGCUCUUCCAUCAGAGAUGCAAAAGUGCAUGGAAGCAGCAGUGAAUUCCAGCCCACAGCGCUCUGAUGGGACACAUGGAUGAAAAGCAUCACCACCGAGGACGCAAGCACUGCUAGGAAGUCUUCUUCAGAGAAGUCCCCAGAACUGUUGAACCCUUCCCAGAGCACAGCCACUCACACCAAAUCUUUAGCAUCGCCCAACAAAAAGCUGUGCUGCAUGGAAUAGGG